AAAGCGUGUCUUGAUUUGAAAGAUCUGAAGUCUGAAUGGCAAUCUGAGGCCUCUUACAUCCAUCUCUUGCUGUUCCAUGGGACCCUGAUGGUGGCCUGACUUAUGUACCUGGUUGUGCAUGUGACUAAAAUUGGUACUGAGACGAAUCAUGUGCCACUCUGUCUCUUGAGAUUCUUUUGAAGAUGGGCUGACUGAACUGGUAUCUGACACUCAAAAUGUGGUGAAGCUGGGUGGUGUGUCGAAACAAACUGGAGUCUCGUUGGCAUUGCCCAGUUGGCUCAGCAAGUAAUUGUGAUCUCUGCAUAACCCAGUCACAUACUGCAGGAAUGCAUUGAUUUUUCGAGUUGGAAAGUAGGU
Molecule: long non-coding RNA, 357 nt
Filed under: Manacus vitellinus (golden-collared manakin)
Lineage: Eukaryota; Metazoa; Chordata; Aves; Passeriformes; Pipridae
Description: lncRNA (ENSMVIG00005008064.1)
Source: RNAcentral